AGGAUGAAAAGGAUAAAGUCUGCGAAGCCCUCAGGUAAAGAUGGAAAGAAACACUGGAAGGGAAGGAGCAAGUAAGAGGACUCUGGGAGAGGUGAUCUCCUUUUAUUGUGCAUUCAAUUCCUUUGUAGAGUUGGGGAAAGGGAGAUAUUUUAGCAAGGGUCAGUCCUGGCUACUAUUCUGGGACAGUAAUAAAUUAGUUUUCUUUUUCUUUUGUUCAUUUAGGAACUACAGUACUGUUAUGUCAGUAACAUACAUCACAGUCGUACGUCUCCAGGCUUCUUAUCUUCCUUUGAACCUGACCUGGCUACUGUUUGGUGGAUUAUAGAGGAAAAGCUGUAAUGGGAAAGUAGGUUGGGUGAAGGGAUGAGAAAAAGGAAAGCAUCGUGGAGCACAUUAGCAGGCUUUCUCCAUGAAGAAGCAGGAUGAGUACCUUCUCACUGCCAAAGUAGUUGGAGGGACAUCAAACACCAGUGAUGGGAACACUGAACCUCACAUAAGAAGCACAUGAAGAACAGCAGUGAAACCAAGGAUUCUAGCAAGGCCAGCUAUUAGCAAAGCAGUAAGCAGGAACUGGACUAGAUACCAAAUGAUGGGGAAACAGACUCAUAGACCUAAGAACAUAGGAAGAAGAGAUGUAACAUCAACAGAAAGGCAAAAGGUAAGCUCUCUGUAUUCUUUCUUCUCUCUCUCUUUCAAUUCUUCCCCCUUUGCUUAUUCCCUUUUUUUUUCUGGAAUUACAUUUUAAAUUAAGUUUUAGAGCUAUGUGGUAAAUUAUUUGGUCCAAUUCCUUUAUACUUUGGAUGAGGUAAAGUGACUAACAGAGGUCCCCACCAGUAGGAGCCCAAGUCAGUCUGUGAGCUCAGUGCUCCUGAUACUAACUAAGUCCAGUGCCCUUUCAACCACAUAACAUGGCAUUGCUUUACAAAAUCAAGUCCUACAACAGACCUGAGAGGUAAACUGACUUCCUCUUGGGAUUCAAACACUGAGUAGCUCAGAUGGCAGUAAAAAGUCGUGGGAUCCUUAAGGCUUUCGCUCCCACCUCUUUUGCUCUUUCAGGUCCUUUGGAGAAUGGCCCCUUUUCCUCCUGCUUUUCUCUUGUGUCAAAUUCAAGUAGACCAGGG
RNAcentral lists this long non-coding RNA (1121 nucleotides) under Homo sapiens (human). RNAcentral's name for it is "non-protein coding lnc-SLC9C1-2:12". The record is from RNAcentral. Lineage: Eukaryota; Metazoa; Chordata; Mammalia; Primates; Hominidae.